CCGCCGGCGGCCCUGCGGACCCCGGCACCGCGGACGCCGGCUCUGCCCGCACCGGCCGUGCGGGCACAGGCCGGUUUGACUCCGGCCCGGCGGG
RNAcentral lists this transfer RNA (94 nucleotides) under Streptomyces toxytricini. RNAcentral's name for it is "tRNA-Arg". Lineage: Bacteria; Bacillati; Actinomycetota; Actinomycetes; Kitasatosporales; Streptomycetaceae. The record is from RNAcentral.